RNAcentral lists this long non-coding RNA (223 nucleotides) under Lathyrus oleraceus (garden pea). Its description in RNAcentral is "Pisum sativum (pea) long non-coding RNA (PSAT_LNC000227)". Lineage: Eukaryota; Viridiplantae; Streptophyta; Magnoliopsida; Fabales; Fabaceae. The record is from RNAcentral.
UUUGCUCUUGAACUAGGAGUUUCCUUUUAAGCUUAAUUUGAAGAUCAUUAUCAUGUUCAUCCAUGUGGAAGUUACAAGAUACCUUGAGGAUCUCUUAUGAGACUUGUGUGAUUGCUUAUGCUUUGUGCUUGCUUAUUCCAAAGGAUGGGAACUUACUUGGAUCAUCUAUAUGAUCUCAAGAGAGGAACUCCUAGUGUGGUUUCAUUACUUAGCCUUCUUCUUC